AUACGUAGGUGACAAGCGUUAUCCGGAUUUACUGGGCGUAAAGGGCGUGUAGGCGGUCUUGCAAGUCAGAAGUGAAAUUCCUGAGCUCAACUCGGGCGCUGCUUCUGAAACUGCAGGACUUGAGUGCUGGAGGGGAUAGCGGAAUUCCUAGUGGAGCGGUAAAAUGCGCAGAUAUUAGGAAGAACACCGGUGGCGAAGGCGGCUAUCUGGACAGUAACUGACGCUGAGGCGCGAAAGCGUGGGGAGCAAACAGGAUUAGAUACCCUGGUAGUCCACGCUGUAAACGAUGAACACUAGGUGUAGGGGGUAUCGACUCCCUCUGUGCCGCAGUUAACACAAUAAGUAUUCCGCCUGGGGAGUACGGCCGCAAGGUUGAAACUCAAAUGAAUUGACGGGG
Molecule: ribosomal RNA, 397 nt
Filed under: uncultured bacterium
Lineage: Bacteria
Description: partial 16S ribosomal RNA
Rfam family: Bacterial small subunit ribosomal RNA
Source: RNAcentral